RNAcentral lists this ribosomal RNA (460 nucleotides) under uncultured bacterium. RNAcentral's name for it is "partial 16S ribosomal RNA". It matches the Rfam family "Bacterial small subunit ribosomal RNA", at positions 338 to 795 of the family's 1533-position model. The record is from RNAcentral.
CCUACGGGAGGCAGCAGUGAGGAAUAUUGGUCAAUGGGCGCAAGCCUGAACCAGCCAAGUCGCGUGAGGGAUGACGGUCCUAUGGAUUGUAAACCUCUUUUGUCGGGGAGCAAGGCCCGCCACGUGUGGCGGGAAGGAGAGUACCCGAAGAAAAAGCAUCGGCUAACUCCGUGCCAGCAGCCGCGGUAAUACGGAGGAUGCGAGCGUUAUCCGGAUUUAUUGGGUUUAAAGGGUGCGUAGGCGGAAGGUUAAGUCAGCGGUCAAAUGUCGGUGCUCAACACCGGCCUGCCGUUGAAACUGGUCGUCUUGAGUGAGCGAGAAGUAUGCGGAAUGCGUGGUGUAGCGGUGAAAUGCAGAGAUAUCACGCAGAACUCCGAUUGCGAAGGCAGCAUACCGGCGCUCAACUGACGCUGAGGCACGAAAGCGUGGGGAUCGAACAGGAUUAGAUACCCUUGUAGUC